UACGUAGGGUGCAAGCGUUGUCCGGAAUUAUUGGGCGUAAAGAGCUCGUAGGCGGUCUGUCACGUCUGCUGUGAAAACUCGGGGCUUAACCCCGGGCCUGCAGUGGGUACGGGCAGACUAGAGUGCGGUAGGGGAGACUGGAAUUCCUGGUGUAGCGGUGAAAUGCGCAGAUAUCAGGAGGAACACCGGUGGCGAAGGCGGGUCUCUGGGCCGUAACUGACGCUGAGGAGCGAAAGCGUGGGGAGCGAACGGG
This 253-nucleotide ribosomal RNA is filed under the name uncultured bacterium. RNAcentral's name for it is "partial 16S ribosomal RNA". It matches the Rfam family "Bacterial small subunit ribosomal RNA", at positions 524 to 776 of the family's 1533-position model. The record is from RNAcentral.